RNAcentral lists this long non-coding RNA (814 nucleotides) under Rattus norvegicus (Norway rat). Its description in RNAcentral is "long non-coding RNA NONRATT005840". The record is from RNAcentral. Lineage: Eukaryota; Metazoa; Chordata; Mammalia; Rodentia; Muridae.
UGUUUACUUCCUGUGGCCGUGGAACCCGUAUUAUCGUAUACGGCGAGAAUGGCCCUGGAGACGGUGCCAAAGGACCUGCGGCAUCUGCGAGCUUGUUUGCUGUGCUCGUUAGUCAAGACUAUAGACCAGUUUGAAUAUGAUGGGUGUGACAAUUGCGAUGCAUACCUACAAAUGAAGGGCAACAGAGAGAUGGUGUACGACUGCACCAGCUCUUCAUUUGAUGGUGGUGCCUUGCCUGGAGCUGUUCCUGCUGUGCUCAGCAGCCCCUCUGGCAGGGCAGGCUCAGGCUGACUCUUCGUCCUCCCUCUCUAGAAUCAUCGCGAUGAUGAGUCCAGAGGACAGCUGGGUCUCCAAGUGGCAGCGCGUCAGUAACUUUAAGCCAGGUGUAUAUGCUGUGUCAGUCACUGGUCGUCUGCCCCAAGGAAUUGUGCGGGAGCUGAAAAGUCGAGGAGUGGCCUACAAAUCGAGAGACACAGCAAUAAAGACCUAGCUAGAUGCAGGCCAUAGCGUCUUGUUCUCUACUUCUGUCCUUGUUUUCUUGUGGAACUAAAAGGUGGGACCCAAAGACUCCUUGCCCUCCAGCUCAGGAUCAGCAGACCCCGUGAAGGCAGCACAUCCGGCCUUAAGUCACCUCCCUUUCUCUGACCACUGGUGAAGUGGGAGUGUCUGAGUGGAUUCUCAGAGGCUGUAUCAGGAGAGUAAGAUGCUGAUUUCCCACCUCUGUUCAGGGUUUUGCCUUUGUCCAUGGGCAGGACUUUGGUUCAAAUGCCAAUAAAACAAACCUUUGGAGUACUUAAACAAAACUUAAAGAGUA